Molecule: ribosomal RNA, 402 nt
Filed under: uncultured bacterium
Lineage: Bacteria
Description: bacterial SSU rRNA
Rfam family: Bacterial small subunit ribosomal RNA
Source: RNAcentral
UGGGGAAUAUUGGACAAUGGGGGAAACCCUGAUCCAGCAAUGCCGCGUGAGUGAAGAAGGCCUUAGGGUUGUAAAGCUCUUUCGCCCGCGAAGAUAAUGACGGUAGCGGGAGAAGAAGCCCCGGCUAACUCCGUGCCAGCAGCCGCGGUAAUACGGAGGGGGCUAGCGUUGUUCGGAAUUACUGGGCGUAAAGCGCGUGCAGGCGGUCUCUUAAGUCUGGUGUGAAAGCCCGGGGCUCACCCCCGGAAGGGCACUGGAGACUGGGAGGCUAGAGUACCGGAGAGGAAGGUGGAAUUCCUGGUGUAGCGGUGAAAUGCGUAGAUAUCAGGAGGAACACCGGUGGCGAAGGCGGCCUUCUGGACGGCUACUGACGCUGAGACGCGAAAGCGUGGGGAGCAAACA